Molecule: non-coding RNA, 2239 nt
Organism: Coturnix japonica (Japanese quail)
Lineage: Eukaryota; Metazoa; Chordata; Aves; Galliformes; Phasianidae
Source: RefSeq, a predicted model, not a curated record
AAAAGCGAUCGGCGUGUGGGUCUGUGAGGAAACGGUGUCCGUUAAAAGGGCUCUGGGAAAGUAAAACAAAACAGGCGAAGGAAAUAUCGCGUCAGUUUCGGCUGAUAGAAGCCGUGUUUUGCAAAGGUUGUGGUGGAGGUCGGGGUUUGGUGGAGGAAGAAGUGAGGUUUUUGUGUCUUUGAGGGCCAAGGUGUGGUGUGUGGUGCUGGGGGAGGCAGAGCCCGUCAUGUUAUUGAGUUUAGCUUUGGUUUUGGGACAGGUUUGGAGGCGGUUUCUGUUCCAUAUCUCUCAGCAUCACGCUUCUGCAAAGUGACAAGAGUCCAAAGCACAAGUGGAAACUACCAGCAGGAGAUGAAUCAUCUCGUUAAAAGACAAAAAAAAGUAGAAAAUAGCACUUCUUGAUCACACUGCAGCCAAACUACAGCACUUCAAUGAAACUUCCUACAUCACAGUUCCGUUUUUCUCAAACCUUUGCCUCUUGGAAUCUACCCAUAACCCUUUAAGACUGAAAGGCCUAAGCCUUAUUGAAUUUCCAAGCUUAUCUUCGAAAUAACAGGUAGGAGUUUGGAGGUUUGCUGAUUUGAGCACAUUUUCCCUAAAGAAAGGGAGUUUCACUGCUACAAAUUGCCUCUCAUCCCUUCUGCCAUCACUUCUGAACCAAAAGUUGGUUCAGACAAAGUCUGAGGCAAUGAUUCAAAUAUGUUAAUUUCCUGCAAGUAUCAUGAAAAUGACACAAAGGUAGGUAAACCUGUAAAGGAGAUUUACAAGUAAGUAUCAUGAAAAUGACACAAAGGUAGGUAAACCUGUAAACGAGAUUUACAGACUUCUCCAGCCACCUUUUCUGCUCUUCCUCUUUUUCCUCGAGGUUGUUGGAUUUAUGACAAACACAGAUUUCCAUCCUGUGUGAUUGUAAUGAUUCAUCGGCAUUCAGCUGUUGCUUCAGAUGCGCUUAUGGGAUGCAGCGGUUCGAAGGUGUGAAGAUUUUUUGUCGUACUGAUAGAAUUGAUUAGGAAUGCCAAAGUGCAGAAGGGGACUGAAAUUCUGUAGUGGAGGGAGUAUUUGCAAGGAGAGUAUUUCAAUCAGAUGCUGAAAAAUAGAAGGAGAUACAGAGAAUGAGCCAAGCCUGUGGACAAAACAUGGAUUAAUAAAGAAUGGUUGAAAGAACUCCCAAAAAUGAAAGCAAAAGAAGCUGUGCUGAGCAACUUCCUUCUGCAUGAGAUUUCCAUUACAAAGUGAGCCAUGUAACAUAGUGGACAUCUAUGUAGUGGUUAAUACCAUCCUCAACAUGGAUAUAUAUUCCAUGGAUUAACAAAUUUCAAUCCAGAAAGAUUCAUCUAGCAAUAAUUCUAAAGCAUUAACAUAAGUCUAACGGCUGUCUCUUUGAUGGAGAGGGAAAGCUGAGCCUGGCUGAAUGGAGAAGUGAGACCAGGGAAUGCUGGAAAUAACAGCAGGGUCACCACGCAACACCACAGCAGCCUCAGAGCCCACGUCAAGGAGGAAGGAUGGUCUGAAAGGCAGUUUGGAAACAGAAUGGAAACCAUCGGAUGUAUUUGCCACAAAGAGAAAAGGACUGAGUUCAGGAAAGACAAGAGGAAAUGAGGCUAAAAAUGGAAGGAGAAGAAUCUUCAGGCAGUGAAGAAGACAACUUGCAAGCAGCAAAACUUCCUGCAGCCACCUGUUGGCUGAAGAAAAAACUCUGCGUGCAGUUUGCCACAGAAACUGAGCACACAGCCAUUCCUGGAAUCAACAGUUGCGUUCAGGGGAGAUGGAAACCCUCACUGUGAAGGGGGGGGAUUUCCAACUGCUGCCUGCUGGUGGCUGGAGAAGCACAAUAUUGGGAUGGAAUAUUUCCUAGCACUGCUGGAGAAGCAGCUCCUUGGGCUCAGAAGUGCUGGUUGCUGCCGCCCCACGGAUCACCCCACAGCCCCACCUGCGAGCUCUGCACCGCGGCUGUCGGCGUCCCCGUAUUCGAACUCCACGGUGGGGAAAUCCACGGAGCCCUGCGGAGAGCGGCGCGUUUGGAAGCGGUGCGUAAAAACAGCAGCCGGCCCUGGCUGCAAACAGCCCCUGCACGCUUAAAUGCACGGCUCGCACCCUGCCCAGCAGCCCCGCGUGUGCAGCUCCAUUUCUGCACAGCCUAAAACCUCCCCGGUUUAAAUCCACGCCUUUCAUCCUGCAGGCAGCCCCGAGCACAUACCCCUGUUCUUCCCAACGUAAACCCGCAGCGUUUACCCUGCAA